UGUGGGAUAGUGUAAAGGUAACAUAGUAGGCUCAUAACCUACUGAUAGAAGUUCGACUCUUCUUCCCGCUACUCAA
This 76-nucleotide transfer RNA is filed under the name Crassvirales sp. RNAcentral describes it as "tRNA-Met". It matches the Rfam family "tRNA". From Rfam's summary of the family: Transfer RNA (tRNA) molecules are approximately 80 nucleotides in length. The record is from RNAcentral. Lineage: Duplodnaviria; Heunggongvirae; Uroviricota; Caudoviricetes; Crassvirales.